AGAGUUUGAUCCUGGCUCAGAUUGAACGCUGGCGGCAUGCCUUACACAUGCAAGUCGAACGGCAGCACGGGAGCUUGCUCUUGGUGGCGAGUGGCGAACGGGUGAGUAAUACAUCGGAACGUACCCUGAAGUGGGGGAUAACGUAGCGAAAGUUACGCUAAUACCGCAUAUUCUGUGAGCAGGAAAGAGGGGGAUCGCAAGACCUCUUGCUUUAGGAGCGGCCGAUGUCGGAUUAGCUAGUUGGUGAGGUAAAGGCUCACCAAGGCGACGAUCCGUAGCGGGUCUGAGAGGAUGAUCCGCCACACUGGGACUGAGACACGGCCCAGACUCCUACGGGAGGCAGCAGUGGGGAAUUUUGGACAAUGGGCGCAAGCCUGAUCCAGCCAUGCCGCGUGAGUGAAGAAGGCCUUCGGGUUGUAAAGCUCUUUCGGUGGGGAAGAAAUUGCUUCGGUUAAUACCUGGAGUAGAUGACGGUACCCGCAUAAGAAGCACCGGCUAACUACGUG
RNAcentral lists this ribosomal RNA (506 nucleotides) under uncultured bacterium. RNAcentral's name for it is "bacterial SSU rRNA". It matches the Rfam family "Bacterial small subunit ribosomal RNA", at positions 8 to 507 of the family's 1533-position model. The record is from RNAcentral.